AUUGAACGCUGGCGGAAUGCUUUACACAUGCAAGUCGAACGGCAGCACGGACUUCGGUCUGGUGGCGAGUGGCGAACGGGUGAGUAAUGUAUCGGAACGUGCCCAGUCGUGGGGGAUAACGUAGUGAAAAUUACGCUAAUACCGCAUACGAUCUAUGGAUGAAAGCGGGGGACCGUAAGGCCUCGCGCGAUUGGAGCGGCCGAUGUCAGAUUAGGUAGUUGGUGGGGUAAAGGCUCACCAAGCCAACGAUCUGUAGCUGGUCUGAGAGGACGACCAGCCACACUGGGACUGAGACACGGCCCAGACUCCUACGGGAGGCAGCAGUGGGGAAUUUUGGACAAUGGGCGCAAGCCUGAUCCAGCAAUGCCGCGUGCAGGAAGAAGGCCUUCGGGUUGUAAACUGCUUUUGUACGGAGCGAAAAGGCUCUCUCUAAUACAGGGGGCUCAUGACGGUACCGUAAGAAUAAGCACCGGCUAACUACGUGCCAGCAGCCGCAGUAA
Molecule: ribosomal RNA, 500 nt
Filed under: uncultured bacterium
Lineage: Bacteria
Description: partial 16S ribosomal RNA
Rfam family: Bacterial small subunit ribosomal RNA
Source: RNAcentral